UACGUAGGGCGCAAGCGUUGUCCGGAAUUAUUGGGCGUAAAGAGCUCGUAGGCGGCUUGUCGCGUCUGCCGUGAAAGCCCAUGGCUUAACUGUGGGUCUGCGGUGGAUACGGGCAGGCUGGAGGCUGGUAGGGGCAAGCGGAAUUCCUGGUGUAGCGGUGAAAUGCGCAGAUAUCAGGAGGAACACCGGUGACGAAGGCGGCUUGCUGGGCCAGUUCUGACGCUGAGGAGCGAAAGCGUGGGGAGCGAACAGG
This 253-nucleotide ribosomal RNA is filed under the name uncultured bacterium. RNAcentral's name for it is "partial 16S ribosomal RNA". It matches the Rfam family "Bacterial small subunit ribosomal RNA", at positions 524 to 776 of the family's 1533-position model. The record is from RNAcentral.